GGGACUACAGGUGCCCGCCACCACUAAUUUUUUGUAUUUUUUAGUAGAGACAAGGUUUCACCGUGUUAGCCAGGAUAGUCUUGAUCUCCUGACCUCGUGAUCCACCCACCUCGGCCUCCCAAAGUGCUGGGAUUACAGCACAGUCUUCUUUUUCUGGCACUAGACUGAUGGAAUAGCCCCUACUUGGGACAUACACUUUUUAUAGUGAAGAGCAGGAGCAAGAGACAAACCAUACCAUGCAAGCACAUUCAAAGCUCUUGCUUGAAUAUGGUGUAAAUCAAAUUGUUCAUAUACCAUUGACCAAAGUAAAUCAUGUGGACAAGCCUAACAUGAGACUGGAGAAGCAUACUCUACCUACAGAGUGGUAAACACGGGUGGUAUAAUACUCUCAUAGUAGAGAAAGUGAAUUGGUCAUGAAUAUCUGCUCCUAUAUUACACAUAACACACAGCCCCUCCUCAAGGAAGACCAAAAAUCUUAUCCAGUCAUGUGAGACCUAAAUUCUAGGAUCUCAUCUAGAUGAAGGUGUAGAUGAAGUGUUUCUUGAUCCCGUGACUUGUUAACUUAAACAACAAGAUAUGUCUACCUAAAAUGAACAACAGAGACCAACUCUCCAAAGCAGAGUUUAUUUGGGAAUAGCAGGGGAUUGCAAUCUGGGAUAUGUGUGCUAUAGCUGACCACAGGCUCAUCCAAAGGGGUUGUGGCAAAGGGGAAGCUUUUAAAAACAAAAAGUCCACAUAAACUGUUUUGAAACAAAGACCAUUGUUGCAGGAGUUUGUUGCAGGAGUUGGCAGUAGCUCAUGGGUGGAGACAUUGAUUGUUAGGUGAGUAUCCUUGUGUAAGUGGCUUAUCUAGAAUACUGUGGUUUUGAGGACUUUUUUGCAUAGUUCCCAUCACAGGCAUACUCAAAUGAGGGCCCCUCCUCCAUGACCUCAAGUCCAUUUUGUUUGUUAGAGUUUGACAUUAGUGACUCCAUUUUGAUAAUUUCACAGUUAAUGCAUUGUGGUGAUCAUUUCACAAUGUAUACGUAUAUCAAAACAUCAAGUUGUACUCCUUAAUUAUAUAAAAUUUUUGUCACUUUGAUAUCCAGGCUACAUGAAGUAUAAACCUAUGUGAAGUAUAAAACUUGCCACACUGGGACUCUGGGAACAUUGGUGAUAAGUGUGUGUUUAGGGUGGUUUGUAGGGGCAAAGAAAGUCUUGACAUUAUUUCAGAAAUCCUAGGUACACCAAUUAACAUCUGCUUUACCUACAAUAAUAGGUCCAGGUCAGACUUUUUGAUAAUAGUGUUAAGUGUCAUAGAAUGUUUUCUGUAGUAAAAGAAUGUUUUACAAAAUACAGAAUUUGCUAUAAACAUUUGUGAAACACCCAGUAGAUUCUUUAGCAGCUGGUACUAUUCUGACGUAUGGUUAAUGCUAACAUAUACAGUUGGCCUUCCACGUCCAUGGGUUCCACAUCCAUGGAUUCAACCAUUGUGGAUCAAAAAUAUUUUUUAAAGUUGCUUGUGAGGCCAGGCGUGGUGGCUUAUGCCUGUAAUCCCAACACUUUGGGAGCCCGAGAUGGGCAGAUCAACUGAGGUCAGGAGUUCAAGACCAGCCUGGCCAAUAUGGUGAAACUCCAUCUCUACUAAAAAUACAAAAAUUAGCCAGGCAUGAUGGCUCAUGCCUGUAAUCCCAGCUACUCUAGAGUCUGAGGCACGAGAAUCGCUGGGAGACGGAGGUUGUAGUGAGCCGAGAUCAUACCAUCGCACUCCAGCCUGGUCGACAGAGUGAGACUCCGUCUCAAAAAAAAAAAAAAAA
Molecule: long non-coding RNA, 1796 nt
Organism: Macaca fascicularis (crab-eating macaque)
Lineage: Eukaryota; Metazoa; Chordata; Mammalia; Primates; Cercopithecidae
Source: Ensembl